UGGGGAAUAUUGCACAAUGGGCGCAAGCCUGAUGCAGCAACGCCGCGUGAACGAUGAAGGUCUUCGGAUCGUAAAGUUCUGUUGCAGGGGAAGAUAAUGACGGUACUCUGUGAGGAAGCCCCGGCUAACUACGUGCCAGCAGCCGCGGUAAUACGUAGGGGGCUAGCGUUAUCCGGAUUUACUGGGCGUAAAGGGUGCGUAGGUGGUCCUUCAAGUCGGUGGUUAAAGGCUACGGCUCAACCGUAGUAAGCCGCCGAAACUGGAGGACUUGAGUGCAGGAGAGGAAAGUGGAAUUCCCAGUGUAGCGGUGAAAUGCGUAGAUAUUGGGAGGAACACCAGUAGCGAAGGCGGCUUUCUGGACUGCAACUGACACUGAGGCACGAAAGCGUGGGUAGCAAACAGG
This 403-nucleotide ribosomal RNA is filed under the name Verrucomicrobiota bacterium. RNAcentral's name for it is "Verrucomicrobia bacterium partial 16S ribosomal RNA". It matches the Rfam family "Bacterial small subunit ribosomal RNA", at positions 355 to 776 of the family's 1533-position model. The record is from RNAcentral. Lineage: Bacteria; Pseudomonadati; Verrucomicrobiota.